Molecule: non-coding RNA, 140 nt
Filed under: pig gut metagenome
Description: skipping-rope RNA
Rfam family: skipping-rope RNA
About the family: Firmicutes, Fusobacteria, AlphaProteobacteria, Spirochaetes. Downstream gene
Source: RNAcentral
AUAUUUGAGGAUAGAAAGGCAGCUAUCACGCCUUAUAUCAUAAAGUGUUCCACGCUCGGUUUUCCAUAGGAGGAAAGUAACGCAAGAUGGUCGAUAUGAGGUCUUACAAGAGAUGUAGGGGGUGCCGACCUGCCAAAUAU